RNAcentral lists this ribosomal RNA (465 nucleotides) under uncultured bacterium. Its description in RNAcentral is "partial 16S ribosomal RNA". It matches the Rfam family "Bacterial small subunit ribosomal RNA", at positions 28 to 507 of the family's 1533-position model. The record is from RNAcentral.
GACGAACGCUGGCGGCGUGCUUAACACAUGCCAGUCGAACGGAAAGGCCCUGCUUGCAGGAUACUCGAGUGGCGAACGGGUGAGUAACACGUGGGUGAUCUGCCCUGCACUUCGGGAUAAGCCUGGGAAACUGGGUCUAAUACCGGAUAGGAGCCAUUUUUAGUGUGAUGGUUGGAAAGUUUUUUCGGUGUAGGAUGAGCUCGCGGCCUAUCAGCUUGUUGGUGGGGUAAUGGCCUACCAAGGCGGCGACGGGUAGCCGGCCUGAGAGGGUGGACGGCCACAUUGGGACUGAGAUACGGCCCAGACUCCUACGGGAGGCAGCAGUGGGGAAUAUUGCACAAUGGGCGCAAGCCUGAUGCAGCGACGCCGCGUGGGGGAUGACGGCCUUCGGGUUGUAAACUCCUUUCGCUAGGGACGAAGCUUUUUGUGACGGUACCUAGAUAAGAAGCACCGGCUAACUACGUG